AGCCACAGCCACAGGAGCAUGGGGGGAGACAGCAGAAGUUGCUCAUUAACGCUACUCCACGACUAUGCUUCAGCUCCUGUCUGGAAGCCCCUGUCUGAGAGCAGCCAGGUCCCUUAAAUUCCUUUAAUUCCAUUCUGAUCCUUUGCUAGAGAUGAGCAAUUGCCCAAGGAGUAUGAAGUCAGUGACACCAGUUUCCUUCAGAAGGUCACCUCACACCCAUUUUGGUCAGUAUUGGUCAGGUUCAAUAAAAAAAGUAGUGAAAGUAUUUGUGUCCCAUUACUGAUCCCUGAAGCCAUUCAAGGAUCCUUUAGACACAAAGGUAACCUAUUAAGGCUUAUUUCAGAGAUUGCAGUAAAGUAUUGCACAUUAUUUGUCUGCUUCAAUAGUUAAAAAAAAUGAAAUCUCAUUUCUCGGAGAUUAGUAACAUCAUUAAAAAAUGUUAAAAACAAAUACAGAGGUAACUUGAUGUGACUCUACAGGAAUAUGUAACAAUUAAUAGAUAGGGGAUAGCAGAGGUCCAUCUGUGCAGAGAUUUAGCAACAGCAGUUUUUAAACAACUGGAGAGCGUAAAUCCCAAAUAAUUAUUUUUGCCCUUUCUAAAAGCUAAGGUGAUCUGAAAUUUAGGACUAUCCAUGAACUGCACUGGAUGAUUUCACCAGAACAAAAGAGCAUCAAGAUUCACUGCAAUAUAACCUCCCAAAAACCGUCAGUUUCAAACAGCUGACUCUGGUCAGCACAUCCAGAAAUAAAUAAGAAAAG
Molecule: long non-coding RNA, 759 nt
Organism: Ficedula albicollis (Collared flycatcher)
Lineage: Eukaryota; Metazoa; Chordata; Aves; Passeriformes; Muscicapidae
Exons: 2
Source: RefSeq, a predicted model, not a curated record